RNAcentral lists this transfer RNA (71 nucleotides) under Loxodonta africana (African savanna elephant). It matches the Rfam family "tRNA". From Rfam's summary of the family: Transfer RNA (tRNA) molecules are approximately 80 nucleotides in length. Lineage: Eukaryota; Metazoa; Chordata; Mammalia; Proboscidea; Elephantidae. The record is from Rfam by way of RNAcentral.
ACACUGGUAGUUCAUUGGUAGAAUUCUUGCCUUCCAUACAGGAGACCUGGGUUCAAUUCCCAGCCAGUGCA